AGUGAACGCUGGCGGCGUGCCUAAUACAUGCAAGUCGAACGGAGUGGCGCACGGGUGAGUAAUAUAUAGCUAAUCUGCCCCUUGCUGGAGGACAACAGUUAGAAAUGACUGCUAAUACUCCAUAGCAAGGGAUGAGACUAUAUCGUAUCAGCUAGUCGGUGGGGUAAUGGCCUACCGAGGCUAUGACGCGUAACUGGUCUGAGCGGAUGAUCAGGCACAUUGGAACUGAGACACGGUAGAGACUCCAACGGGAGGCAGCAGUAGGGAAUGUUGCGCAAUGGGGGAAACCCUGAGGCAGCAACGCCGCGUGGAGGAUGACACUUUUCGGAGCGUAAACUCCUUUUGUAAGGGAAGCGGUAACUAACAAAGAAGCACCGGCUAACUCCGUGCCAGCCGCCGCGGUAAUUC
RNAcentral lists this ribosomal RNA (408 nucleotides) under uncultured bacterium. Its description in RNAcentral is "partial 16S ribosomal RNA". It matches the Rfam family "Bacterial small subunit ribosomal RNA", at positions 29 to 526 of the family's 1533-position model. The record is from RNAcentral.